RNAcentral lists this ribosomal RNA (253 nucleotides) under uncultured bacterium. Its description in RNAcentral is "partial 16S ribosomal RNA". It matches the Rfam family "Bacterial small subunit ribosomal RNA", at positions 524 to 776 of the family's 1533-position model. The record is from RNAcentral.
UACGGAGGGUGCAAGCGUUAUCCGGAUUCACUGGGUUUAAAGGGAGCGCAGGCGGAUUAGUAAGUCAGUGGUGAAAGCCUUAAGCUUAACUUGGGAACUGCCAUUGAUACUAUUAGUCUUGAAUGUUGUUGAGGUUUGCGGAAUGGGUCAUGUAGCGGUGAAAUGCAUAGAUAUGACCCGGAACACCUAUUGCGAAGGCAGCUAUCUGGACUGUGAUUGACGCUGAGGCGCGAAAGCGUGGGGAGCAAACAGG